RNAcentral lists this transfer RNA (76 nucleotides) under bacterium. RNAcentral describes it as "tRNA-Pro". It matches the Rfam family "tRNA". From Rfam's summary of the family: Transfer RNA (tRNA) molecules are approximately 80 nucleotides in length. Their secondary structure includes four short double-helical elements and three loops (D, anti-codon, and T loops). The record is from RNAcentral. RNAcentral also lists the same sequence under 1 other name.
CGGGAUGUGGCGCAGUUGGUAGCGCACCUGCUUUGGGAGCAGGGGGUCGCACGUUCGAAUCGUGUCAUCCCGACCA